CGGAAGCCUCAGGAGCAGAUGCAAUCAACUGGAAGAAAGGUUUUCUGCUGUUAGACAAGACAACAGGAAAUUUGGAUGCUUCAUUCCACACCAAAUGAAUCAGGACCUCCAGGGUUUCUAAUUGCUUUUCAUUCAUUGGAGAUGACAGUUCCAAAUAUAUUCACCUUUGUAAAUGAAGAGGAUAGAAUUUUAAUCAGACGAAUGAGAAAAUAAAAGUGCUAUGAUUAGAAAAACUUGAGGAUUAUUCUAACCAGCAAGCGAAGAUCUCUUAAAAUCUUCAGAGGAAUUGCAGAAUUAAAAAAAAUAUAUGUGGCAAGAACUCGAUUGGAUAGAUAAAUACAGGUAAUAGAUAUCUUUGAGGUAAAAUAGAACCUCAAUUUAAAUAGAUUAAUGUAAGAAUUUUAAAAAUGCUGAUGAACUUGAUAUAUUACAAUAAUCCUUUCUGGGCUGAAGGAAAUAGGAAUAAAUAGGAGCAAGCCACAGUGAAAAAAACAUACAAUCUGUCUCACUGGGUGAGAGGGUUGUCCUGAAAACAUCCGACGUCUGGAAUGCCCUUGUCUCCAAGUAUGCAAGUCCUCCAAACACCCUGAGGCUAAUAUAAUGCCAACAAGUAAAUGGACUUUGUUUAUAUACAUGGGAACUUUUUAAGAAAUCAAAACAUUAAAAUUCUUGAAAGCAGUAUGACUGAUCAAUAACUAAAUCUAUCCAUAACUGAGAAUUUGCACAACCUGGGCAACAAGCAUUUUCCAGGAAUAAAUUGCUGUUCAUCCAUAGUGUGUAAAUGACUCUUCCAAAACAGUUUUAAGAGAUGUCACCAUUUUAUCUUAUUUUUUUUCUUCCUGUUCCAUCUUCCACUGUCUCAAACUCUCUUUACUUCGUUCCUCAGGAACAGCUUUCAUCUGCUCUUAUUUCCUUUAAAUAUGUGAUAAUCUUUGCUCUUUGACUCUAUUUUCCUAAGGUAUGGUUGUUCUAAUUAAUUUUACCUCAGCUGACAUUAGGAGCAUUGUAAAAAUUAAUAACAAUCUUACACAAGAAUCUUUCUUAAUACUAUGAAAUGUAAUCAGGUUUACCAUUUUUAUAAAUGUCUUUGUUUAGAGUAAAACAGGUGAUGAUAUGGCUUUAUCAUCAAAGGAUUCAUCUCAAUGCUAACCUAAAAAGAGAGGAAAUUAGUUCUGAUAUAGGAUCCAAACACAAUUAAGCAUUUUAACUCAUGCAUAUAACAAUCUCUUUAUCUCAGUCAACUGCUACUCUUCUGUUAUACAAUGAAUUUCCUUCUUUCAAUUAUUUUCUAAGCAGCAUUCUAUUUUUGGCAUAAAAUAUUGAUUUCUGUAAACAAAAAUUCAUGAACGUACAACAUAAGCAUGAAGACUUUAGAUUUAUGUAUGAUUUCUGAGCAGGGGCUGUUAAUUUUGGUUGACUUUGAGAGAACAUUUGAAUUGAUAAGUAUUAACUAUUUUUAAAUCAGUAGAGACUGAGUUAUAUACAUAUAGAUGUGUAUAUGCAUAUGUAUGUAUGUAUUUUUCUUCUUUUUUUUAAAUAAUAGGAGUAAUGGGGCAAGAUAAACUCGUAUAGACUAAAGAAAAUAAACUUGUAUAGACUAAAGAAAAUAAGUUGGCACAUUUGAAUUGUAGUAUACAAAAGUACAACCUAUUAUAAAUGUAUAUAUGUAUUAAGUAUGAUGAGUAAUUACUCCUGUAAUAACUAUGUCUCCGAAAAUCCUUCCUGGAAAAUUGUUUCCUCCUAAAUGUGCUGCUGCAAUUAACUUGUAUUUUCCUAUUGAAACACACACUAUUGCAAUAUGCUAUGUUGCUUCCUUGCUUGAGUACACGUUAUUUGAGUAAACUUUGUGACAGCAGGGAGGGACCACACCUCUCUUUUUCUCAUUCUUUUUUCUCCAACACCUUGUCUAAUAUAUGAACAGAGUUUUGGCUUCAUAAAUACCUAUUGAAAUAAAUGAGAGGCAUAUUUUAGGCCCUUGUCUUUCCUGCGACGUCAUGCUCAACCUCAAUGCCAGUAAUCUGGUUCAUUAUUUUUUGUUAUCUUUUUUUCUAACAGUGGAAUAAGUGUUGCAGUGAUUUUAUAUUAUUAUGUCCUAUGUUAUUGACCCUGACACUUCCAUUGGAUACCUUAACACCAUCUGUUCUAUGCAUCACUGCAGAGAAAGGUUGAUAAAAGAUUGAUACCUGUCAUCUUAGGAAGUCAUCUGUGCACUAGUUAAAGCAAUUAUAGGUGGGAUGACAGUCUCUGAAAAAUGUCCAUUUUCCUUUUGUAAAGUAAUUCUGUUGUUUAUGUCAUGUCUCCAUUGAUGAGCCCAUUGUCUCUCAAACUAUUCACUUGCCACUUUCUAAUUUUAUAAUCUCCACACCUUUGGAAUUUGCCAAUACAACAGAGCAGUAGACAAUUUUCUUGGACUUCAUGCUUGAUCUGCUUCAAUCUAUACUAUUUGUUAUAAACCUUCAUGACUGACAGAUCAGACCUAUCAUCUUGGAUCCUCUGUAGUGGCAUAAUUUUGUCUUUGACAGAUUAUAACUUAAAAUUGCUGAGAAUACUCUGUCAACUUUAAAAUGUAUCUGUAAUAUUUACAAGUAUAUCAUUCGUCUUAAGUACUACAAAAUACCUUCCCCUUAUGAGAGUCAGUUAACUAUUUUUAACUAGUUGCAUUAAAAAGUGAAAACUAUUUUUCAUUUCUAAAUAUGCUAUUCUCUUCUAAGUAAAUUAGGAUAAAGUACUUUCUAUUGAAAAUCAAACUUAUAAAUCUCUUAUCUUCAAACUUACUAUAUACUUGUGAGUUUUUUAUGUUAGGGAGUGCUUGAGUACAAUGGGAGAUCAAUAUAAAACCUCAUUUAAGAAACAUUUUUGCAUCUAAAAUCAUGCCUAAUAGAAAGCUGAGGCAGUAGAACUGGUGAGCGUUCCUGAUAAAAUUCUUCUUUAUGAGUAAAAAAAG
RNAcentral lists this long non-coding RNA (2944 nucleotides) under Homo sapiens (human). Its description in RNAcentral is "HSALNT0341037". Lineage: Eukaryota; Metazoa; Chordata; Mammalia; Primates; Hominidae. The record is from RNAcentral.